Molecule: non-coding RNA, 1494 nt
Organism: Paramuricea clavata
Lineage: Eukaryota; Metazoa; Cnidaria; Anthozoa; Malacalcyonacea; Plexauridae
Source: the annotation of a GenBank genome assembly
GAAAGAAAGAAAGAAAGAAAGAAAGAAAGAAAGAAAGAAAGAAAGAAAGAAAGAAAGAAAGAAUCGGCUAAAAGAAGUCAAAGAAGGGAGCCGACGUUAACGAAGGUAAGUUUGUUUUAAAUAUUGAUUUUAUAAUGGCUUUAGUAAAACCCGACGGCCUUUGCAUAUGAAACAACUAAACAAGACAGCAUAUAAUUUCAGUGUAACUUGAUUCUUUUUUCUAUUAUGUUGAAUUUUUUAAAUAAAAAAGAAAGCAAAGUUAUUUGCAAGCGAGAAUUUGAAAUCAUUUUAUUGCAAACUCAAAGUUUAUCGAUAAAGCCAUUUAAUUAUUUAAAGGCAGUUUAGUUUUAUAAUGAACACUUUAAAACGUUUUGCGAAGCGUUUGUGGUUGAAUUUUACCUUAAAUUGAGGCUUAUAUUACGUAUAGUAACAUACCUAACAUAUAUAUGUUGGGAAAUUGAUAAUUUUGUAAUUAAAAGUGAUAUUUUUAGCAAAUUUUUCAUUUGUAAAAAUAUUCUUAAAAAAUUAUCGUGUUACCAUGACAACUACUCUAGAUACUUCAUGUUCGGAAAAUACAAUGGUUUUGUAAGCAAGGCGAGGGUUUCUGCAUGUAUGUAUUUUCUAGUUUAGACCUGAAUUAGUGUUAGAGCGCUGCACCGGAAUCGCAGGGCCGCAGGUUUGACUCCUGCCAGAGGGCCUAUAGUUGCAUUUUUCGCAGCUGCUCCUGGUUAGAUGUAAAUCAAUAUAUAAAACUUACGCUCGAAAUUUCCAUCUACAAAAAUCCUUCAACAUUGGUUUAUAAUUGCUCAAUGUGGAUCGUCAGUGAGUCACCUGUUAAUCCCAUGUAGAGUGAAAUCGACGUCAAAUAGUGAAGAAUUCGGGUAUGCCAACACUAAACAUCUAUACAUUAUGCAUACAGAAAUAACCAAUGAGAACCUUUGGUAUUGAGCAGGUUGUCUCUGACAUUUGGUAAACGAAAACACACUAGUCUGAUAUAUUAUAAUGUUCAGUGUGGUUGGUAUAUUGGGUAAAAAAUGUUUAACCGUGUGAUCUGUCUGAAAAAUUAGAAGACGUAUAAACGAUAGAUUUGCUAAUAUAAGCACCUGUGUAAUGUCAAGAACAACAUGUACAAAAAACCUGGUGCCAGUCAUUUCAAUAGUUCCGUCUACUCUUCUAAUAUCCGCAAAGGCAGAAACAGCGUCUCAUUUUCAAACCUGGCGCCAUUAGCCCACAUGGUCUCAAUUACCAAUUAUGACAUGCAUGAGGUGGAGGUUUUACCCUUAAAUUAAACCCCGGUUAUUGUUGAUUUAGGCAUGCCGCUACCUUGUCACUAUUAUUGUAAGUCAUUUUGUAGACUAGCACCGCCUUCCCACCGGGCACACGACGUUGUUUCAACGUUGAAAUUUGGUAGAAAAAAGGUUGCGACGUCGACAACCUAAUAUCUACGUUGCUCUGACCUUGUUUUACAAACAUUAGUUCAACAGCAGCCAACAG